AACAAAGAGUUAUAGAUAAUUAUAUAUGUGAAGGUUUAUCAUAUUUGAAAAUAUUCGCCGAAAUGUACUUUGUAUCAGUAUUUACACGAUGGCCACACUAUGCAAUUUUACCUUAGUUCCAUCAAACAGUUUGCAUAGAUCUUUUAUUACUAAAUAUAGAAUAAAUGCUCAUGCAUCAUGUAUAGAAACAGGCAGAUACUAUAGUAUAGCCUGAAAUAAACGUUUUUGAAGUAUGUGUGAUAACAAUGCUAUUGCAGAUGAGUAUCUUUUUAUUUUAUUUUUAAUUUCUGCAGCAAAAUUACGUAAUGGUUAAUUAUUCAAGUGCUUAUUUUUAGUUUAACAUGUCUUUAUGUCAUACUCUGAUUAAUUCCUUCAUUGUGAUUUGCAUUAUUUGUGCAUCAAACAAUAACAAUCAAAACCAAGGAGUAAACAAAGACUCACAAAACCAAAGGUCAUUUACAUAAACAGUUAUAAAUAAUAAUUAAGAAACAACACGAACUCCACUAAAAACCGGGAGUGAAAUCAGAAGCUCCAGAACGGUAAUCAUUUCCGGCAUCGUAUACGGCACCCGUCGUGUUAUUUUGCUGUCCAGUUCGGUAAUGAUGGAAGGUUAUCAUGACUGAGGAAGAAUAUCAUAUAUGAUUUCUGACGCACUUUUGUCAUAAUGGCCAAUCAGCUCAUGAUGGCGACCGUAACAUUUCUUGAGUGAUGACCUUAAUUUGAUUGAUUCAUAGCCCUGUCUUAGCAAUUUUUGAGAAAGCAGUAUAAAUGUUAUAUUAUGCUGUAUAUUAUCUAUUGAAUAUCUAUAUUGGGUAAAUCCAAUAAGCUGUUUGCUUACGGAA
This 842-nucleotide long non-coding RNA is filed under the name Mytilus galloprovincialis (Mediterranean mussel). Lineage: Eukaryota; Metazoa; Mollusca; Bivalvia; Mytilida; Mytilidae. The record is from RNAcentral.